CCUACGGGAGGCAGCAGUAGGGAAUCUUCCACAGUGGACGAAAGUCUGAUGGAGCAACGCCGCGUGAGUGAAGAAGGUUUUCGGAUCGUAAAACUCUGUUGUUGGAGAAGAAUGUAUCUGAUAGUAACUGAUCAGGUAGUGACGGUAUCCAACCAGAAAGCCACGGCUAACUACGUGCCAGCAGCCGCGGUAAUACGUAGGUGGCAAGCGUUGUCCGGAUUUAUUGGGCGUAAAGCGAGCGCAGGCGGUUUCUUAAGUCUGAUGUGAAAGCCUUCGGCUCAACCGAAGAAGUGCAUCGGAAACUGGGAAACUUGAGUGCAGAAGAGGACAGUGGAACUCCAUGUGUAGCGGUGAAAUGCGUAGAUAUAUGGAAGAACACCAGUGGCGAAGGCGGCUGUCUGGUCUGUAACUGACGCUGAGGCUCGAAAGCAUGGGUAGCAAACAGGAUUAGAUACCCUAGUAGUC
Molecule: ribosomal RNA, 465 nt
Filed under: uncultured Lactobacillus sp.
Lineage: Bacteria; Bacillati; Bacillota; Bacilli; Lactobacillales; Lactobacillaceae
Description: bacterial SSU rRNA
Rfam family: Bacterial small subunit ribosomal RNA
Source: RNAcentral